Molecule: ribosomal RNA, 562 nt
Filed under: uncultured bacterium
Lineage: Bacteria
Description: bacterial SSU rRNA
Rfam family: Bacterial small subunit ribosomal RNA
Source: RNAcentral
CCUACGGGAGGCAGCAGUGAGGAAUAUUGCGCAAUGGGGGAAACCCUGACGCAGCGACGCCGCGUGGGCGACGAAGGCCUUCGGGUCGUAAAGCCCUUUUGUCAGGGACGAGUGAGGACGGUACCUGGCGAAUAAGUCUCGGCUAACUACGUGCCAGCAGCCGCGGUAAAACGUAGGAGGCGAGCGUUAUCCGGAUUCACUGGGCGUAAAGCGCGCGUAGGCGGUUGGUUAAGUCGGAUGUGAAAGCCCCUGGCUCAACUGGGGGAGGUCAUUCGAUACUGGCCGGCUUGAGGGUGAGAGAGGGGAGUGGAAUUCCCGGUGUAGCGGUGGAAUGCGUAGAGAUCGGGAGGAACACCAGUGGCGAAGGCGGCUCCCUGGCUCACUCCUGACGCUGAGAGCGCGAAAGCGUGGGGAGCAAACGGGAUUAGAUACCCCGGUAGUCCACGCUCUAAACGAUGAGGGCUAGGUGUUGGUGGGAUUUCCCAUCUGUGCCGAAGCAAACGCGUUAAGCCCUCCGCCUGGGGACUACGAACGCAAGUUUAAAACUCAAAGGAAUUGACGG